Molecule: ribosomal RNA, 253 nt
Filed under: uncultured bacterium
Lineage: Bacteria
Description: partial 16S ribosomal RNA
Rfam family: Bacterial small subunit ribosomal RNA
Source: RNAcentral
CACGUAGGGGGCAAGCGUUGUCCGGAUUUACUGGGCGUAAAGAGCGCGCAGGCGGUCGUUCAAGUCGCGUGUGAAAGCCCCCGGCUCAACUGGGGAGGGUCACGCGAUACUGAUCGACUCGAAGGCAGGAGAGGGUAGUGGAAUUCCUGGUGUAGCGGUGAAAUGCGCAGAUAUCAGGAGGAACACCGAUGGCGAAGGCAGGUCUCUGGGCCAUUACUGACACUGAGAAGCGAAAGCAUGGGGAGCGAACAGG